GAAACUAAAUAGGAUUCCCUUAGUAAUGGGGAAUGAACAGGGAUCAGCUCAGGAUGGAAAUCGGGGCCCCCCCGGCCUUGAAUUGUAAUCUGGAGAUGCAUCACCAACUGGGGCACAGAUGUAAGCCUCUUGGAAAAGAGCAUCAGUGAGGGUGAGAAUCCCGCAUGGCAUCUGCAGUCCUCAGUGUACGGUGUGCAUUCUAAGAGUCACACUCCUCGGGACUGGAGUGCAAAUUGGGUGGUAAAUUUCAUCUAAAGCUAAAUAUUUAUUCGAGACCGAUAGCAAACAAGUACCAUGAGGGAAAGGUGAAAAGGACUUUGAGAAGAGAGUUAAAAGUGCCUGAAAUUGCUGAAAGAGAAGCGAAUGGAACCAGUGCAACUUGGCAAGAUUGUCGUGUGCCAGCCGGAUUGCUCGCUGCUUCAACGCAAGUGUGGCAGUGGGUUUUGAUGGCGACGUGCAUGGUGUUUCUUGCUUGGCCCGUCAACGUUGGUUCACGGUUGAGGAAAACUUCAAGGACCUGGGAGCCUACCUGCGGUGGGUGUAAAGUGCUUGUUGGAACUCA
RNAcentral lists this ribosomal RNA (562 nucleotides) under Tyrannodinium berolinense. RNAcentral's name for it is "LSU rRNA". It matches the Rfam family "Eukaryotic large subunit ribosomal RNA", at positions 61 to 625 of the family's 3401-position model. Lineage: Eukaryota; Dinophyceae; Peridiniales; Pfiesteriaceae. The record is from RNAcentral.